Molecule: non-coding RNA, 91 nt
Organism: Caenorhabditis elegans
Lineage: Eukaryota; Metazoa; Nematoda; Chromadorea; Rhabditida; Rhabditidae
Source: Ensembl
UAUCCUCAAUUCGAACAACUAACUGAUAUUUUUAAUAUCUAUCCAAAACACAUUACAGGACAAAGCGAUCGAUAGAAUUCCCAAUAUUCGA